AGCGGCGGACGGGUGAGUAACGCGUGGGUAACCUGCCUCAUACAGGGGGAUAACAGUUGGAAACGGCUGCUAAUACCGCAUAAGCGCACAGUACCGCAUGGUACCGUGUGAAAAACUCCGGUGGUAUGAGAUGGACCCGCGUCUGAUUAGCUAGUUGGUGGGGUAACGGCCUACCAAGGCGACAAUCAGUAGCCGACCUGAGAGGGUGACCGGCCACAUUGGGACUGAGACACGGCCCAA
This 240-nucleotide ribosomal RNA is filed under the name uncultured bacterium. RNAcentral describes it as "partial 16S ribosomal RNA". It matches the Rfam family "Bacterial small subunit ribosomal RNA", at positions 94 to 334 of the family's 1533-position model. The record is from RNAcentral.